RNAcentral lists this ribosomal RNA (353 nucleotides) under uncultured bacterium. Its description in RNAcentral is "bacterial SSU rRNA". It matches the Rfam family "Bacterial small subunit ribosomal RNA", at positions 29 to 407 of the family's 1533-position model. The record is from RNAcentral.
AGCGAACGCUGGCGGCAGGCUUAACACAUGCAAGUCGAGCGGGCGUAGCAAUACGUCAGCGGCAGACGGGUGAGUAACGCGUGGGAACGUACCUUUUGGUUCGGAACAACCCAGGGAAACUUGGGCUAAUACCGGAUAAGCCCUUACGGGGAAAGAUUUAUCGCCGAAAGAUCGGCCCGCGUCUGAUUAGCUAGUUGGUGAGGUAACGGCUCACCAAGGCGACGAUCAGUAGCUGGUCUGAGAGGAUGAUCAGCCACAUUGGGACUGAGACACGGCCCAAACUCCUACGGGAGGCAGCAGUGGGGAAUAUUGGACAAUGGGCGCAAGCCUGAUCCAGCCAUGCCGCGUGAGUG